Non-coding RNA from Jatropha curcas, 136 nucleotides. Lineage: Eukaryota; Viridiplantae; Streptophyta; Magnoliopsida; Malpighiales; Euphorbiaceae. The record is from RefSeq and is a predicted model, not a curated record.
UCAUUGCAGAGUGGGUCAUUGAUUCUGGUUGCACAGAUCAUAUGACAGGAUCUUUUGACGAAGCGGAUUAUUGGUAAAGGACGUGAGUUUGGUGGCCUUUAUCUUCUGGAUGAACAAGUUUCGUCAUCUUUGGCUU